GGGCAUGAGAGAACAGAAGCGGAGGAAGACCCUGAGAGUUGGCUUCCUAAGAGAGAAAAGGGAGCUUAUUUCCCAGAGUGGUGUUCCAGGAUUGCUGCAGGACAUGUGACAAUGGAAUUACUUCUAUGAGAGCCCGAUUUUGGGGCUCAAAGUUGUCCUCAAGCCCAGAGAUGGAUGCAGGGACUCUCCAAGGUAGAAGGGCCUUCUGGCUACCAGCCACCCAUGCAAAGUGAAACUCCAGGCACGAAAAAGACAUGGGGAGUCUUGGCAAAUACUGAAGCCACUGCUGGAAAAGAAGGAAGGCCCCAUGUGAGCCUGCCCUCACCAUUCCAUGGAGACAGAUGAGCCCGUGGGAAGCUGAAUGUGCUAGGGGAGAUCUUUGUGCCCUGCUAACCAGUGGCCUGCCAGAAGCCCAAAAAGUGCCAGGAGGGAGCAGCGACAGGAAAGCAGAGAAUUCUGGAAAAUAAGGUUUCCCAGCAUCAUCUGCCUGGGUGAAUGUCGUUGGCAGGUAGACAUCUGUCUCAAUUUCUAAAGAAUGAUCUGAUUUUCUAAAAAAGGAGAAAGAAGGGAAGGAGGGAAGAAGGAAGGAAGGGAAAAAAAGGGAAAAGUAAAGAAAAAAUAAAA
Homo sapiens (human) is the source of this 624-nucleotide long non-coding RNA. The record is from Ensembl. NCBI's taxonomy places the organism in Eukaryota, Metazoa, Chordata, Mammalia, Primates, Hominidae.